UUGGGGUGCCUGUGCGACGGAUCCCGGUGAACCCCGCCAGGCCCGAAAGGGAGCAACGGUAGCCGGGCUCUCCGGGCAGGUUCCCCCAAUAGC
This 93-nucleotide signal recognition particle RNA is filed under the name Caldimicrobium thiodismutans. Its description in RNAcentral is "signal recognition particle sRNA small type". It matches the Rfam family "Bacterial small signal recognition particle RNA". From Rfam's summary of the family: The signal recognition particle (SRP) is a universally conserved ribonucleoprotein involved in the co-translational targeting of proteins to membranes. Archaeal SRP consists of a 7S RNA and homologues of the eukaryotic SRP19 and SRP54 proteins. Lineage: Bacteria; Pseudomonadati; Thermodesulfobacteriota; Thermodesulfobacteria; Thermodesulfobacteriales; Thermodesulfobacteriaceae. The record is from RNAcentral.